RNAcentral lists this ribosomal RNA (291 nucleotides) under Triticum aestivum (bread wheat). RNAcentral's name for it is "partial small subunit ribosomal RNA". The record is from RNAcentral. Lineage: Eukaryota; Viridiplantae; Streptophyta; Magnoliopsida; Poales; Poaceae.
AUGGGCGACAUCCACAAGGUAGUACUCCUGCCAAACCCCCAAGUGCCCGAUUUUUGCAAGUGUUUCUGUUGCGGGUUGCAACUUAAGCUGAUGCUUCUUGUUUAUGUAGCCACUAAAAUUUGUACUCCACCAUGUAAGGCUAGUUUAGAAUUGAGGCUAAACCCUUCUCUGUGUAGUAUGAUUCCGAGCAAACAUAUGUCAAUAAUGCUGAAACUUUUCACGUUGGCGUUGCUAUGUUUGAUGUGGUGGUGCCAAACAAAACUCAUAUGCUUAUGUUGCGCUUACUUUUAA